Molecule: ribosomal RNA, 232 nt
Filed under: uncultured bacterium
Lineage: Bacteria
Description: partial 16S ribosomal RNA
Rfam family: Bacterial small subunit ribosomal RNA
Source: RNAcentral
GGAUUAACGCUGGCGGCGUGCAUGAAACAUGCAAGUCGAGCGCGAUGCGAGCUUGCUCGCAUCUAGCGGCGCACGGGUGAGUAACACGUGAGCAACCUACCUCGGAGCCCGGGAUAGCCCUGAGAAAUCAGGAUUAAUACCGGAUGAUGUCGCCGUGGGGCAUCCCAUGGCGAAGAAAGGCUUCGGCCACUCCAAGACGGGCUCGCGGCCUAUUAGCUUGUUGGUGGGGUAA